UUUAAAAAUUUUAUAGUUUUUUUUUUUAAUUCUCUCUGUAUUCAUCUCUUCUCUUCCUAAGUUCAGUUAGCAUUCUUAUUACUGUUGCUUAAACUCUUUAUCAGGUAAAAUGUUUAACUCUCUUCCAUUAGGGGUUUUUUGUUUGUCUGUUUUUCUUGUUCCUGUUCUUUUGUUUGAAACAUAUUCCUCUGUUUUCUCAUUUUUUUAACUUUCUUUAUUUUUAUGAUGUUAGGUCAGUUAUCUUUUCCUGUAUUGAAAAGCACAUUCUUCUUUGGUAGUGUCCUUAUGCAGACUGUGUGUGCCCAGUGGCUUUGUUGGGAAAAUUGGAUCUGAAGUAUACACAAGUGGCAUCGUCCCCUGUGGUGCACUGGCAGCCACUACCUUGACAGGAGAUAGGGCUGGAGUUUGAGUGUAUAGAGCCAGAGCUAGGUGCACAUGGGGGCUUCUGCCUUUGCGCUAUGACUGGGAACUAGCAAGUUAGUGUGAACCCUCUCCAAGAGAAGAAUCUAGAUUUCUUAUAGCCCUCUGGUUAGCCUUACUGGUUUUCAAACCAGUUAAGAGGGCUCAUCUUUCUGGUAUUGCACUCAUAACUGAGGUGCCUAAUUUGUGACUCAAAAGCCUUGAUCCCUAGGGAGCAUCCCUGAACCUGUGACAAUUGCCUCUUCUUCUGGGUUCCCUACUAAAGGUUGAGGUCCUAGUGAGAUUACUUGUCCUCCAUUCCUACAAGAGUCCACGUGGAUCCUUCUUUACAGCCUUAGCUGUAGAAAGGUCAUCCUGCUUGUCUUCUGGUUGAUUUUAGCAAGAGUUAUUCUGUAUGUAGUUAUAGUUUGAUGUGUUUGUGAGGGCAUGUAAGCUCAGCAUCCUCCUACCCCACCAUCUUGAUCCUACCUUUUGAUAAUUCUAUUUUCUUAAUGUAGGCAUUUAUCACUAUAAAUUUCCCUCUUAGAAUGGCUUUUGCUACAUCCUAUAAGUUUUGGUAUGUUGAGUUUCCAUUUUUUGUUUGUUUCAUGUUUUUGAUUUCUCUUUUGAUUUCUUCUUUGACCCGUUUGUUGAGUGUAUUGUUAUAUUUGCACACAAUUGUGAAUUUUCUAGUUUUUCUCCAAUUAAUGAUUUCUAGUUUUCACACCAGUGUUGUUAGAAAAGAUACUUUAUGAUUUUAGUCUUUUUAAAUUUACUAAGGUUUGUUUUGUGAUCUAUCCUGGAGAAUAUUCCAUAUGUACUAGAGAAGAACAUAUGCUUUACUGCUGUUGAAUGGAAUGUUCUAUAUAUGUGUUUUAUGUCCAUUUCAUCUAAAAUAUUUUUCUAGUCCAAAAUUUCAUACUGAUUUUCUGCUUGGAUGAUCUAUCCAUUGUUGGAAUUGGGGUAUUGAAGUACUCUGCUAUUAUUACAUUGCUGUCUAUUUCUCUCUUCAGAUCUUUUAGUAUUUGCUUUAUAUAUUAGGUGUUCCUAUGUUUGGUGUAUAUAUAAUAUCCUCUUGAUGAAUUGACCCUUUUCACAUCAUAUAGUGACUUUCUUGGUCUUAUUAUAGUUUUUAGUUUGACAUCUCUUUUGUUCAACUUAAGUAUAGGUACUUUUGCUCCCUUUUGGUUUUUACUAGCAUGGCAUAUCUUUUUUUUUCCCUUCAGUUUGAGCCUAUGUGUAUUCUUAAAACCGAAGUGAGUCUCUUUUAGAUAGCAUAUAAUUGAAUUUUUUAAAAAAUCAGUCAAGCCUCUCUGUGCCGUUUGAUUAAAUAAUUUAAUCCAUUUACAUUUAGAGUGCUUUGUGACAUGUAAGGAUAUAUAAUGCCAUCUUAUUGUUUUCUGACUGUUUUGUAGUUCCCUUGUUUCUUUUGUUGUUGUUGUUGUUACUUUGUUUUGUGAGUUGAUGAUUUUCCAUGGUAUUAUGCUUUGAUUCUUUUCUAUAUCUACUGUGGAUUUUUAGCUCUUGGUUACCAUGAGGGUUACAUAAAGCAUCUUAUAGAUUUAACAGUCUAUUAUAUGCUGAUAUCAAUUUAAUGUUGAUUGCCUGCAAAUACCCUUC
RNAcentral lists this long non-coding RNA (2019 nucleotides) under Sus scrofa (pig). RNAcentral's name for it is "lncRNA (ENSSSCG00055028695.1)". The record is from RNAcentral. Lineage: Eukaryota; Metazoa; Chordata; Mammalia; Artiodactyla; Suidae.